This 27-nucleotide non-coding RNA is filed under the name Mus musculus (house mouse). Lineage: Eukaryota; Metazoa; Chordata; Mammalia; Rodentia; Muridae. The record is from RNAcentral.
UGACAGGAUCUGUGGUGGGCGUGGUAA